GAUGAAGAACGCAGCGAAAUGCGAUAACUAAUGUGAAUUGCAGAAUUCAGUGAAUCAUCGAGUCUUUGAACGCACAUUGCGCCCCCUGGUAUUCCGGGGGGCAUGCCUGUCCGAGCGUCAUUGCUGCCCUCAAGCACGGCUUGUGUGUUGGGCUCCGUCCCCCCGGGGACGGGCCCGAAAGGCAGCGGCGGCACCGAGUCCGGUCCUCGAGCGUAUGGGGCUUUGUCUCCCGCUCUGUAGGCCCGGCCGGCGCCAGCCGACAACCCAUCAUCCUUUUCAGGUUGACCUCGGAUCAGGUAGGGAUACCCGCUGAACUUAAGCAUAUCAAUAAGCGGAGGA
Molecule: unclassified non-coding RNA, 339 nt
Filed under: soil metagenome
Description: partial contains 5.8S ribosomal RNA, internal transcribed spacer 2, and large subunit ribosomal RNA
Rfam family: 5.8S ribosomal RNA (bases 1-120)
Source: RNAcentral